CAGGAAGUAGUUUAAUUAGAAUGUCAGCUUUGGGUGUUGAUGGUAGGGUAAUGUGCCUUCUUCUUGA
RNAcentral lists this transfer RNA (67 nucleotides) under Petaurus breviceps (sugar glider). RNAcentral describes it as "tRNA-Pro". The record is from RNAcentral. Lineage: Eukaryota; Metazoa; Chordata; Mammalia; Diprotodontia; Petauridae.